RNAcentral lists this ribosomal RNA (437 nucleotides) under uncultured bacterium. RNAcentral describes it as "partial 16S ribosomal RNA". It matches the Rfam family "Bacterial small subunit ribosomal RNA", at positions 29 to 507 of the family's 1533-position model. The record is from RNAcentral.
AGCGAACGCUGGCGGCAGGCUUAACACAUGCAAGUCGAGCGGGCAUCCUUGUGGUGUCAGCGGCAGACGGGUGAGUAACGCGUGGGAACGUGCCCUUCGGUUCGGAAUAACUCAGGGAAACUUGAGCUAAUACCGGAUACGUGCGAGAGCAGAAAGGUUUAUCUGCCGAAGGAUCGGCCCGCGUCUGAUUAGCUAGUUGGUGAGGUUAUGGCUCACCAAGGCGACGAUCAGUAGCUGGUCUGAGAGGAUGAUCAGCCACACUGGGACUGAGACACGGCCCAGACUCCUACGGGAGGCAGCAGUGGGGAAUAUUGGACAAUGGGGGCAACCCUGAUCCAGCCAUGCCGCGUGAGUGAUGACGGCCUUAGGGUUGUAAAGCUCCUUUCUCCGGGACGAUAAUGACGGUACCGGAGGAAUAAGCCCCGGCUAACUUCGUG